GAUGAACGCUGGCGGCGUGCCUAAUACAUGCAAGUCGAGCGAACGGACGAGAAGCUUGCUUCUCUGAUGUUAGCGGCGGACGGGUGAGUAACACGUGGAUAACCUACCUAUAAGACUGGGAUAACUUCGGGAAACCGGAGCUAAUACCGGAUAAUAUUUUGAAGCGCAUGGUUCAAAAGUGAAAGACGGUCUUGCUGUCACUUAUAGAUGGAUCCGGGCUGCAUUGGAUGGUUGGUAAGGUAACGGCUUACCAAGGCAACGAUGCAUAGCCGACGUGAGAGGGGGAUAGGCGACACGGGAAGGUGAACGGGGUCAAGGGUCCUGCGGUAGGGAGCAGUAGGGAAUCGGCCGCAAUGGGCGAAAGCAUGACGGAGCAGCGGGACGUGAGUGACGAAGGUGUUGGGUUCGGAAAACUGUCUUAUGAGGGAAAAACAGAUGUGGCCGUAGCCGAAGACAUAGUGACGGUAACGAAUAAAAAAGCACCGGCUAACUACGUG
Molecule: ribosomal RNA, 497 nt
Filed under: uncultured bacterium
Lineage: Bacteria
Description: partial 16S ribosomal RNA
Rfam family: Bacterial small subunit ribosomal RNA
Source: RNAcentral